GAUGAACGCUAGCGGGAGGCCUAACACAUGCAAGCCGAGCGGUAGAGUUUCUUCGGAAACUUGAGAGCGGCGCACGGGUGCGUAAAACGUGUGCAACCUACCUUUAUCUGGGGGAUAGCCUUUCGAAAGGAAGAUUAAUACCCCAUAAUAUAAUGAGUGGCAUCAAUUAUUAUUUAAAACUCCGGUGGAUAGAGAUGGGCACGCGCAAGAUUAGAUAGUUGGUGAGGUAACGGCUCACCAAGUCAAUGAUCUUUAGGGGUCCUGAGAGGGAGAUCCCCCACACGUGGACUGAGGCACGGACCAGACUCCUACGGGAGGCAGCAGUGAGGAAUAUUGGACAAUGGGUGAGAGCCUGAUCCAGCCAUCCCGCGUGAAGGAUGACUGUCCUAUGGAUUGUAAACUUCUUUUGUACAGGGAUAAACCUACCCUCGUGAGGGUAGCUGAAGGUACUGUACGAAUAAGCACCGGCUAACUCCGUG
This 479-nucleotide ribosomal RNA is filed under the name uncultured bacterium. Its description in RNAcentral is "partial 16S ribosomal RNA". It matches the Rfam family "Bacterial small subunit ribosomal RNA", at positions 28 to 507 of the family's 1533-position model. The record is from RNAcentral.